Molecule: long non-coding RNA, 755 nt
Filed under: Equus asinus (donkey)
Lineage: Eukaryota; Metazoa; Chordata; Mammalia; Perissodactyla; Equidae
Description: lncRNA (ENSEASG00005034294.1)
Source: RNAcentral
GGCCUGAGAAUUUGUGUUUCUAAUAUUCCCAGGUGAUACUGACACCAUUGGUUUGGGGACCACACUUUGAAAUCAGAGAAUCUCCCCAGCUGUAGGGAGUGCUGCUGAUCGACAGUGCACAGCUGAGCCCCUCACCAGGAACGGCCCUUAGCUGAAGAGAGCCACCGCGCCCAAGGUCGUGCACCCAUCCCAGGUGGCAGCCUGCAUCCGUGACGGCAAGACCCAGGGUUUCACAACUGGCGCCCAUGCUGUGCCCACUGACACGCCCUGUUCACUGGAGUCCUCCCUCACCAUGUGCCAGCAGCUGCUGCAGCCCUGUUUGGUGGUGAAAGGAAGGGUAGAAGGUAUCCUCUCCAUUUACAGACCACCUGAUUUCUCCUGCAACUGCAGUUUCCAGCAUUCUGACAGUCUUCCAUCUCAAGUAGCUUGUCUCUCUUCUCUGCCUGAGGCUUUCUUAGGCAGUGGAAGCUUGCUCUGCCUGAGCCAGGUGCAACCCGGAAGUGCAGGAUAGUAAAGAUCAUUGGCGCUGACCUUCAACCAAUGGGGAUGGAAUAAAUAUCACAGACUUCUCCUCCGAUGGGAUGAUUCUGAGGCAUGGUCCACAUGGUUUAUCAGAGAGUCUCCUGCAAGACUGAGUCCCAGCUGCCCACAGGAUAACUUGCUCGUUAACAUACUUGUUAGUAGCUUUUCUCCCUUCUUUGUCUCACUUUCCCCAUUUUCUUCUUGUGCUCCUGAGAUCACCUCCUAAAUAAACC